GGGACACGUGGUAUCCUGUCUGAAUAUGGGGGGACCAUCCUCCAAGGCUAAAUACUCCUGACUGACCGAUAGUGAACCAGUACCGUGAGGGAAAGGCGAAAAGAACCCCGGCGAGGGGAGUGAAAAAGAACCUGAAACCGUGUACGUACAAGCAGUGGGAGCCUCUUAAUGGGGUGACUGCGUACCUUUUGUAUAAUGGGUCAGCGACUUAUAUUCUGUAGCAAGGUUAACCGAAUAGGGGAGCCGAAGGGAAACCGAGUCUUAACUGGGCGUUAAGUUGCAGGGUAUAGACCCGAAACCCGGUGAUCUAGCCAUGGGCAGGUUGAAGGUUGGGUAACACUAACUGGAGGACCGAACCGACUAAUGUUGAAAAAUUAGCGGAUGACUUGUGGCUGGGGGUGAAAGGCCAAUCAAACCGGGAGAUAGCUGGUUCUCCCCGAAAGCUAUUUAGGUAGCGCCUCGUGAAUUCAUCUCCGGGGGUAGAGCACUGUUUCGGCAAGGGGGUCAUCCCGACUUACCAACCCGAUGCAAACUGCGAAUACCGGAGAAUGUUAUCACGGGAGACACACGGCGGGUGCUAACGUCCGUCGUGAAGAGGGAAACAACCCAGACCGCCAGCUAAGGUCCCAAAGUCAUGGUUAAGUGGGAAACGAUGUGGGAAGGCCCAGACAGCCAGGAUGUUGGCUUAGAAGCAGCCAUCAUUUAAAGAAAGCGUAAUAGCUCACUGGUCGAGUCGGCCUGCGCGGAAGAUGUAACGGGGCUAAACCAUGCACCGAAGCUGCGGCAGCGACACUAUGUGUUGUUGGGUAGGGGA
RNAcentral lists this ribosomal RNA (814 nucleotides) under Escherichia coli. Its description in RNAcentral is "partial 23S ribosomal RNA". It matches the Rfam family "Bacterial large subunit ribosomal RNA", at positions 419 to 1235 of the family's 2925-position model. Lineage: Bacteria; Pseudomonadati; Pseudomonadota; Gammaproteobacteria; Enterobacterales; Enterobacteriaceae. The record is from RNAcentral.